RNAcentral lists this ribosomal RNA (442 nucleotides) under uncultured bacterium. Its description in RNAcentral is "partial 16S ribosomal RNA". It matches the Rfam family "Bacterial small subunit ribosomal RNA", at positions 339 to 795 of the family's 1533-position model. The record is from RNAcentral.
CUACGGGCGGCUGCAGUGGGGAAUAUUGGGCAAUGGGCGAAAGCCUGACCCAGCAACGCCGCGUGAGGGAAGAAGGUUUUCGGAUUGUAAACCUCUGUCCUUGGUGACGAACACAAUGACGGUAGCCAAGGAGGAAGCCCCGGCUAACUACGUGCCAGCAGCCGCGGUAAUACGUAGGGGGCAAGCGUUGUCCGGAUUGACUGGGCGUAAAGGGCGUGUAGGCGGCCGAUUAAGUCUGGAGUGAAAGUCCUGCUUUCAAGGUGGGAAUUGCUUUGGAUACUGGUUGGCUUGAGUGCGGAAGAGGUAAGUGGAAUUCCCAGUGUAGCGGUGAAAUGCGUAGAGAUUGGGAGGAACACCAGUGGCGAAGGCGACUUACUGGGCCGUAACUGACGCUGAGGCGCGAAAGCGUGGGGAGCGAACAGGAUUAGAUACCCCAGUAGUC